GACGAACGCUGGCGGCGUGCUUAACACAUGCCAGUCGAACGGAAAGGCCCUGCUUUUGUAGGGUGCUCGAGUGGCGAACGGGUGAGUAACACGUGAGUAACCUGCCCUUGACUUUGGGAUAACUUCAGGAAACUGGGGCUAAUACCGGAUAGGAGCUCCUGCUGCAUGGUGGGGGUUGGAAAGUUUCGGCGGUUGGGGAUGGACUCGCGGCUUAUCAGCUUGUUGGUGGGGUAGUGGCUUACCAAGGCUUUGACGGGUAGCCGGCCUGAGAGGGUGACCGGCCACAUUGGGACUGAGAUACGGCCCAGACUCCUACGGGAGGCAGCAGUGGGGAAUAUUGCACAAUGGGCGGAAGCCUGAUGCAGCAACGCCGCGUGCGGGAUGACGGCCUUCGGGUUGUAAACCGCUUUCGCCUGUGACGAAGCGUGAGUGACGGUAAUGGGUAAAGAAGCACCGGCUAACUACGUG
This 468-nucleotide ribosomal RNA is filed under the name uncultured bacterium. Its description in RNAcentral is "partial 16S ribosomal RNA". It matches the Rfam family "Bacterial small subunit ribosomal RNA", at positions 28 to 507 of the family's 1533-position model. The record is from RNAcentral.